RNAcentral lists this ribosomal RNA (253 nucleotides) under uncultured bacterium. RNAcentral describes it as "partial 16S ribosomal RNA". It matches the Rfam family "Bacterial small subunit ribosomal RNA", at positions 524 to 776 of the family's 1533-position model. The record is from RNAcentral.
UACGUAGGCAGCGAGCGUUGUUCGGAGUUACUGGGCGUAAAGAGUGCGUAGGCGGUUUUCUAAGUUUGGUGUGAAAUCUCCCGGCUUAACUGGGAGGGUGCGCCGAAGACUGGAAGGCUUGAGUAUGGGAGAGGUAAGCGGAAUUCCUGGUGUAGCGGUGAAAUGCGUAGAGAUCGGGAGGAACACCAGUGGCGAAGGCGACUAUCUGGCUGACAACUGGCGCUGAGACUCGAAAGCAUGGGGAGCAAACAGG